RNAcentral lists this non-coding RNA (337 nucleotides) under Nicotiana attenuata. The record is from RNAcentral. Lineage: Eukaryota; Viridiplantae; Streptophyta; Magnoliopsida; Solanales; Solanaceae.
GCCGAGCUUGGUAGCGCAAGCUUGUGACCCAAGUGGGGGCAUUAAGGUGAUGGGGACACUAUAGAUAAAGCCCUCCACAGAAGUGGAUUUGGUUGGGCCCCCAAUGAUAACUGGGUGACCAUGCAAACAGUAUUUGUGUAAUACUGGCACGGCACGUCCUCCUGUGGAGAACUUUGCAGAGGUUGAGUUUGGUUUCGGUGCUUUAGUAGCACACCUUAUUGCUGUCUUCUCAGAGCAGCGCUUCUUCCUCUCGUUGGCAACGUCAGUUUGUCAAAGACCAGUUUGCGCCACCACCAUAAUGUCUCAACGGUUUGCCAUAGUUUGGACCAUCACCUUU